RNAcentral lists this long non-coding RNA (3742 nucleotides) under Homo sapiens (human). RNAcentral describes it as "HSALNT0098101". Lineage: Eukaryota; Metazoa; Chordata; Mammalia; Primates; Hominidae. The record is from RNAcentral.
AUGCUGAAAUGAGGCACACUCUGCCUCUGCCCCCACACAGCCCUCCUCCCUCGAGACAGCUGUGGACCAGCCUGGGGGAGGACUGGUUGCCAUCCUAGGAUGAACAAAGCUUGGGGUGGGCAGGUUCCAUUAGCUCAUUCUCCUAAUUAUUCUGGCUGGUCAUUGUUUCUCCUGAUGAAUUCCCAAUUAGCACUGGGGAGCACAGCUUGGGUUUGAUUCUGCCAGUUUUCCGGAGCCAGUUCUCAGCUAUUUCUGGCUUGGCCAGACCUACGACCUUCCUGCUUCCAUGCUAGCUGCAAUUCAGGAAUGGCCUCAGGGGCACUUACACGUUGCCACCAUCAAUGACAACACCGUGAAAUUGGUCUCAUUGUUGCCAUUUCACACGUGGGGAAACUGAGGCUCAGUGAAGUGAAGAGGUUUGCCCAGCUUCCUACCACAACCUUACCUUAACAGAAGAAAAGCAAGAUGUGUGCUUCAUCAGCUUCCCUUGCAGCUAGAGCGGCCACAUGAUAUGGUCUCAUCUAAAAAAGUGUCAGAAGAAGUCUCCUGGGGAGCUUCAGAUCAAAGUAAAGAAGUACAUGAAGAGAGUUUGUCACUGUCCCGUGUGGGUGCAAUGCCUGGAGCCAUGGCAGCCAUCUUGAGAUAACAAGGGGAAAACCAAGAGAACUGGAGAGAUGUGGACCCAAUGGACCAUCCAGAUAUCUGGACACUGAGCUACUGCUGAAGCCACGCUGCAAGGGUGUACCCCUCAGACUUCUCAAUACGGAAACAACAGACAUCCUUGUGAUUUAAGCCGCUGCUUGUUUGUUAUUUGCUCCACGAAUCUUAACUAAUGAAGGAAUUGUAAGGAAUGAGACUGGAGGGUCUAACGGGGCCUAGAUUAUGCAGGGCCCUUAAAGGCAGCUGGGGUAAGUGAAGGAUUUUACAUAGGAAAGGGAAGCUCAGGUUUAAAGAAGGUAAGUCACUACCCAGAGUCCUACUGCUAAUAGGUGUCAGAGCUGAGAUUUGCAGAGACCCUCCAAGUGGAGUCCAAGUCCCUUCCUACCACUCUGUAGGGCAAUUUGCCUCUACAACCAAAUGGCCCUAGUCAAUCCUCACAAGAGGAUUCUCUUGGCCUAUGGGUCAUUUCUAACUACAUGCUGGAAAAGCUGAGAUUUGGCCAAAUCUUCCUUAUUUGGAAUCAGAUCUGUGAUCUUCAGAAACAAGAAGACUUGAGGAGGUAUGUAGGGACAUGGGAGAAGGUGCAAAGUUGAGAGAUGGUAUGGAUGAAUUGAACUUGGGGAAAAGACUCACAAAGACACAAGGCAUGGAGGAAAUUACAAACAGAAGGAUGGUGCCAACCCUUCCACCAUCUUGGUUUCAUUGUCUGAGAAGAAAGUGGGAACCCCAGCAUCCUCUCCUGCCUCUCCAGGGUCUGCACCUGUCUGACUCCAUUGCACCACAGGCAUCCAGGAGGCCCUGAACUCCUCAGGGCCACUGCAGGGUCUCACUCAACCACUCUCUCAGAGUCAGGCUCACUGCGUGCCACAGAAUGGGUCCUUAGUCAGCAUCUGCCCUGUAUGGACUGAAACUUGAGACAAAGCAAAACUAGGGUGAGCUCACCUCUGGGGUGGGCACCUCCUCAAAAGACAGGAUCACAGGUCAUCCCCAUUUUUUUCUCUCCCAGGUUCUUUCAGCUGAACAGACCCAUCCACACAUCUCUUCCCCCAACAAAAACCACAAACCUUUUCCAUGAUUCUAUUUCAGGAGAUUCAACUUAGUUUAAUAGUUCAGAGUGCUAGUUCUGAAAACCAAACUGCCCGGCUCUGCCACUUACUAGCUGUGUGAUUUUGGGCAAAUAGUUUAACAUCUCUAUGUCUCUGUUUUCUCAUCUGUUGCGUAUAGUACCCACUUCGUGUGGACUGUGCUUGUGAGAGUGAAGUGAGUUCAUUCAUAGACAAUCCUGACAUACACCAAGCACGUGAUGAACGCUGUUGUGAUUAUUUAUGAUUAUCCUGACUCAGGACCUUGCCCCUCAUGCCGAGCCCACUUCAGCUUAUAGUACUCAUAGCACAUGCAUCUCAGAGAGGUGUCCACAGAUUUGAAAUCCCUUUUUUUGCUCCAGCAAUUUGAAGCCCAGCAUUCCCGUUUAAAUCCUGACUUAGCCAGCCCCUCAGGGCCCAGGUAGGACCAGCCUGACUGCACACUACCCUGUCAUCCCCGGGCUUGUCCCCCAUCUCCUGCCCUCUCUGUGCACUAAUGGCUGGGGAGCUAAGGGAGGGCAGUGUGCCCUGGCAGGCCUGGCCACGCUGAGCCUUGUUUGUGUAUUUCCACCUUCAUGCUUCAGUUGCUGUCGCCCCUGACUCAUCAGUUAGUUAACAAGCUCCAGAACUGUUCCUCCUCCUUGGGACAUCUCAUCACACAGCCCAUCUAGCCAGUGAGAGUGUGGGCUCCAGCGGGGUGCUUCUGAGGGAGAAGCUGUCUUGUCUGUUCUUCUGUGAUUCUGCCCUUCCUUCCUCAACGCUCUGAGACCAACUCAAAAGCAAAGUCACUGUCUUUCUUUUGCAGUGUGUGCAUGUGUGUAUGUGUGUACUCAUGCGUGUGUGUGUGUGUAUAGGCUUUUGCUCUUCACAGAAAGAAAUCAUGAGCCAUCUGGCUGGCUGAUCAAGAAGGUUAUUAUUUUUAACAAUAAUAGCAGAAGCUCACAUUUACUGAGCAUUUACUAUAAACCAGCAUUUUAUGUGAAUUAACUUGUAGAAUGUUCUAAAUAACCUUGGGAAGUCAGGUGCUUUUGAAAAUCACUGUUUUACAGACAAUAAGAGUGCAGCUUAGACAAUAACUUGCCCAAGUCAUGCAAAUACUAGUAAGUGACAAAGGCAGGAUCUGACUCUAGCCUGUUCCACUCCAAAACUGUACCCUUAAUUGGUGCUUUGAACUUUUUGGUACAUACAAAUCACUUUGAAAACCUGACGCAAGUGCUGAUUCAGUAGAUUUGGGUUGGGGCCUAAGAUCUAGCAUUUCAAAGAAGUGUUCACAUCAUGUUGAUGCUAACCAGUCUGAGCAGACACUUUAAGCCAUGUUGAUCUAGAUCACCCUAUUGUUCCUUCUGACCUGUUAGGAUGACUGCAGGGUGUUCAGUUAAAUUUUUUCCAGGAAGGAAUCUCCUGAAAUAGAAUCAUGGAAAAGGCUUGUGGCUAGAGUCCUGGGUUUGAAUUUCAGCAACCAUUUAGUUCUCAUGACCUUGGGCAACUUCUACUUUUAGAAACUCAGUUUCCUUAUCUUCAGAAUGAGGAUAAUAGUAUCCACUGGCAGGUGAUUGCAAAAGAGUAGAUGUGAAAAUGCCCAUGAAAAAGGGCUCUGCAGACUGUACCAAAAGUUCAGCUAUUAAAGCCAUUUGUUGUUAAAUAAUAAUAUCAUUACUAUAAAAACUCCUGAUUGAAUGGGCAGUGGGGAGGGUCUUAUGUUGCCGUCAUUCCAUUUUUCAUUCAUUCCCAAACUUUUUUUUAAAACCAUCUACCUGAUGACCAAGGGUAAAGAGAUUCAUCACAGUGUUUUAUUUAUAGAGACCUUCACUACCUCAGCCUCUGAGCUCUGUAGGACCCUCUGUGAAGUGUUGUUUAAUACCCACAAAGCAAUUCUUCCAAGCCCCUUCCAUCUUUGGCAAAAUAGAUGAAACAGGAUUGGAUCUCCCCCACCUCAAAAAAAGAGAUCACAAGGAGAGCAGGAAGACCAAGCAAAGCUAACGCCCACUUCUGAAUUCCCA